RNAcentral lists this ribosomal RNA (488 nucleotides) under uncultured bacterium. RNAcentral's name for it is "bacterial SSU rRNA". It matches the Rfam family "Bacterial small subunit ribosomal RNA", at positions 28 to 512 of the family's 1533-position model. The record is from RNAcentral.
AACGAACGCUGGCGGCGCGCUUAACACAUGCAAGUCGAACGAGAAGGCGUAGCAAUACGCUUGUACAGUGGCGAACGGGUGAGUAAUACGUGGGCGACCUACCCUCGAGUGGGGAAUAACCCGCCGAAAGGCGGGCUAAUGCCGCGUACGCUUCCAUCUUUAUGGAGGUGGAAGGAAAGCCGUGCCGUGGGCACGGCGCUCAAGGAUGGGCUCACGUCCUAUCAGCUUGUUGGAGGGUAACGGCCUACCAAGGCUCCGACGGGUAGCUGGUCUGAGAGGACGAUCAGCCACACUGGCACUGCGACACGGGCCAGACUCCUACGGGAGGCAGCAGUGAGGAAUAUUGCGCAAUGGGCGAAAGCCUGACGCAGCGACGCCGCGUGGGGGAUGAAGGUCUUCGGAUUGUAAACCCCUUUCGGAGGGAGAUGGGACGGGCAACCGUUCGGACGGUACCUCCCAGAAGCAGCCACGGCUAACUUCGUGCCAGC